Molecule: RNase P RNA, 374 nt
Filed under: Planctomycetota bacterium
Lineage: Bacteria; Pseudomonadati; Planctomycetota
Description: RNase P RNA component class A
Rfam family: Bacterial RNase P class A
About the family: Ribonuclease P (RNase P) is a ubiquitous endoribonuclease, found in archaea, bacteria and eukarya as well as chloroplasts and mitochondria. Its best characterised activity is the generation of mature 5'-ends of tRNAs by cleaving the 5'-leader elements of precursor-tRNAs. Cellular RNase Ps are ribonucleoproteins.
Source: RNAcentral
UGAGAGGCCGAGGCGAUCGCACGGUGGUUUAUCCAGCGUGAGGAAAGUCCGGACUCCUCGGGUCAGAGUGGUUGUUAACGGCAACCGGCCGUGAGGUCAGGGAAAGUGCCACAGAAAAUAUACCGCCAGCAGAGAGACUCGUUUCCCUGCUGGUAAGGUUGAAAUGGUGCGGUAAGAGCGCACCGCAGUCCUGGUGACAGGGCUGGCAGGGCAAACCCCACUCGGAGAAAGACCAAAUAGGGAGGGUAGGCGACGACCCGCGCCAAGGCCCUCCGGGUAGGUCGUUUGAGGCCGGCCGCGAGGCCGAUCCUAAGAGAAAUGAUCGUCACCCCCGCGAGGGGGUACAAGAUCCGGCUUACAAGGCCUCUCACGUC